AUGUAUUCAAAUUCAUUUAGCAAAUCCGUCUCCAAACAUCAGCAUCUAGGCAGAGUGGAGAAUUCAUAGCUUCAUGAACACAAGUCAACAAACACGAAAUGAACACAACAUACGAUUUUAUAACACCUGUGGCACUAACAAUCCAUUACCCUGUCGAUACAAACACAAACUAAGUUGAUAGAUUUAGAUAAAUUGUUUUGAAAUUUAAAAGUUGGAUAUUUUAUAG
Arabidopsis thaliana (thale cress) is the source of this 226-nucleotide long non-coding RNA. RefSeq annotates it as other RNA. The record is from RefSeq. NCBI's taxonomy places the organism in Eukaryota, Viridiplantae, Streptophyta, Magnoliopsida, Brassicales, Brassicaceae. The transcript has a single exon.